GGGUGGGUAGCUCAGUGGUAGAGUGCAUGCUUAGCAUGCACGAGGUCCUGGGUUCAAUUGCCAGUACUUCUA
This 72-nucleotide transfer RNA is filed under the name Camelus bactrianus (Bactrian camel). It matches the Rfam family "tRNA". Rfam says of the family: Transfer RNA (tRNA) molecules are approximately 80 nucleotides in length. Their secondary structure includes four short double-helical elements and three loops (D, anti-codon, and T loops). Further hydrogen bonds mediate the characteristic L-shaped molecular structure. tRNAs have two regions of fundamental functional importance: the anti-codon, which is responsible for specific mRNA codon recognition, and the 3' end, to which the tRNAs corresponding amino acid is attached (by aminoacyl-tRNA synthetases). tRNAs cope with the degeneracy of the genetic code in two manners: having more than one tRNA (with a specific anti-codon) for a particular amino acid; and 'wobble' base-pairing, i.e. permitting non-standard base-pairing at the 3rd anti-codon position. RNAcentral also lists the same sequence under 2 other names. Lineage: Eukaryota; Metazoa; Chordata; Mammalia; Artiodactyla; Camelidae. The record is from Rfam by way of RNAcentral.